RNAcentral lists this ribosomal RNA (156 nucleotides) under uncultured cyanobacterium. Its description in RNAcentral is "partial 23S ribosomal RNA". It matches the Rfam family "Bacterial large subunit ribosomal RNA", at positions 1 to 171 of the family's 2925-position model. Lineage: Bacteria; Bacillati; Cyanobacteriota. The record is from RNAcentral.
GGUCAAGCUACAAAGGGCUCACGGAGGAUACCUAGGCACACAGAGGCGAUGAAGGACGUGGUUACCUGCGAUAAGUCUCGGGGAGUUGGAAGCACACUUUGAUCCGGGAAUUUCCGAAUGGGGCAACCCCUUGAACGACCAACUGAAUAUAUAGGU